CCUACGGGGGGCAGCAGUGAGGAAUAUUGGUCAAUGGACGAGAGUCUGAACCAGCCAAGUAGCGUGAAGGAUGACUGCCCUAUGGGUUGUAAACUUCUUUUAUAUGGGAAUAAAAUGUUCCACGUGUGGGAUUUUGUAUGUACCAUAUGAAUAAGGAUCGGCUAACUCCGUGCCAGCAGCCGCGGUAAUACGGAGGAUCCGAGCGUUAUCCGGAUUUAUUGGGUUUAAAGGGAGCGUAGGUGGAUUGUUAAGUCAGUUGUGAAAGUUUGGGGCUCAACCGUAAAAUUGCAGUUGAAACUGGCAGUCUUGAGUACAGUAGAGGUGGGCGGAAUUCGUGGUGUAGCGGUGAAAUGCUUAGAUAUCACGAAGAACUCCGAUUGCGAAGGCAGUUCACUGGACUGCAACUGACACUGAGGCUCGAAAGUGUGGGUAUCAAACAGGAUUAGAUACCCGAGUAGUC
RNAcentral lists this ribosomal RNA (460 nucleotides) under uncultured bacterium. RNAcentral's name for it is "partial 16S ribosomal RNA". It matches the Rfam family "Bacterial small subunit ribosomal RNA", at positions 338 to 795 of the family's 1533-position model. The record is from RNAcentral.